RNAcentral lists this long non-coding RNA (1843 nucleotides) under Sus scrofa (pig). Its description in RNAcentral is "lncRNA (ENSSSCG00025058788.1)". Lineage: Eukaryota; Metazoa; Chordata; Mammalia; Artiodactyla; Suidae. The record is from RNAcentral.
UAACACUUUAGAAAUGUAAAAAUUGCUAUACAAAUGCAAGGUCUUAUUACUCUACUAGGUUGCAGGAUUCAAACAGGCCAGGAGAGUGCAUCUCAAUUGGAAUAAUUUCUGUGAUAACAGCCUUGGGCCAUCUUUGGAAAGAAGGUACCCCGCAAGCUCUGUCCAUUUCCUUGAAUAAGAACUCUUACAAAAUGCAUGAAAGGCAGGCACCAUUAAGCCAUUUGAACUGCAUUUCUCAUUUUUCAGAUACAUCAAUCCAGGAGCCAAAGCCCGGCUUUAGAGAUUUAAAGCUGUUAAAUAGCAUGUAGACCAUCCCUCUCGUUUUAUGGAUGCAGAAACUGAGACCUAUAGCAACUUCAGUGAAGGUCAAAGCUGUAAGAUUUGUCUUCUUACCUUAUAAAAGCAACCCUGCCUCCAUGACAGGGGUAUUAAUAUCUUUAUGCUGCACCUUAAAUUGUUUCAGAGUCUGCUCCCUCAGAAAACUCAACCUGUGACGGAUUCUGCUACAUGGGGUAAGUAGAAAAAAAUCUGAAUUUAAAGUCUGAAAAUUAAGAAUUCUAAUGCUGCCUGUUCCACUUACUUAUGUGACCUUAGACUAGGCAUCUCACAUCUCUGAAUGGUAGGUCUUUGUGUGUUCAUGUGUGUGUGUGUAUGUAAAAUACAGAUAAAAAUUCUUUCCUCACAGUAGCAUGUAAGAAAUUAAGUGUCAUAUAAGAAUGGUGGUAAAAGUCCUACAAAUAUAGCAGGAUAAUUUGUAAACCCCAAAGCAUAACAAUGAUGAUUAUUAAUGAACUCUCAUGGUGUAUUUGUUCUUUGAGCAAGACUUCUGUGGAUUACUCUUCCUAUAUUAAUACAUAAACAGUUUACUCUCUUGAAUACUCUAGAAAAAACUUUCAAAGUACUUCUUAACUAGUCAUGAGCUUGGCAAGUAUAGGAUUUGCAUUUUUAUCCAAAUAAUGGUAAAAAAUGAUGGCUUGAACUUUAUCAUAAUCACCCAUAUUUGUAUUCAUGUAGUGCAACUUUAUACUCUUUCAUCUCAAAAUUGAGAUUUCUGUGAAAGAGAGAUGAAUACGGAGAGCUUCUGUUGGAUAUUUAGUUUGAAUUGUAUGUUUUUUUUUCCAUUUUCUUCCAGAUAAAAGUUUUAAUGUUUCACAUAUUGAAGGUUCUAUAAAGAAGGAAAUAAGACAAAAUUUUAAAAAUGGGGUAAACAUGAAUUUUAUAGUCCUAGGAGGGAAUCGGGAGUCAAAAAAUUCAAUUCUAGUGCAGAAUACUAGAUAUUUACAGCUUAUUUCAGGGAGCCUAUGGUUGUGUCCACAGAUUGUACAUAAAAAGAAAUCUACCAAUUAACUAGAGUCCCAAACCUCAAAUAUUCCUUUAUGUUGAUUGAUUAAUUCAUUCAUUAAUCCACUCAUCAAUGAUAAAUUAAUAUAGUGCAAUAUACAAAGCACACGGCUCCUGAAAGCAGCCUGUAUUUCAUCUUUGUUCACUGUUAAAUCUCCCAAAGUCUGGUACAGUGGUUGGCACAGGGUCCGUGCUCAAAACUACUGGUUGAAUUGGUGCACGAAUUUCAUGGAUGCAUAAAAUGAAAGCCAAAAUGGAUCAGACAGAGCAUAGAUCUUUUUCUCCUAAUAACUCCAGUGUGUCUCCUUCAGUCAGACUGUAAGUAUUUCUGGGUCAAGAUUUUCACUAUUCUUUAUCUAGCUGAGUUCAUAAAACUCUAUAUUUUUCUCUUUCUUUUAACUAAUUGGAAAUGCACAUUCAGGAAAGUGCACAGAUCAUAAGUAAACAGCAUCAUGAAUUUGUAGAAAAGAAAUAAAGAAAUCGAAUAGACUUGUGGCUGCCA